ACUUCCUAUUAUCUGUCAGGUGUUUUGCGUGUAUGCGUGUGUGCAUUGGUUUGUUUACUGGCUCACUGUUCGAUCUGUUGCGUCGUAACCACGCGGUUUUACCCCAAUUGCUCUAAGGAAAUUGCACAUCCGUGCGUGGACCUAUCGGUUUACUACCACGAUUCCUCCCUUAGGCCAACAAUUCCUAGGAAUUGUUACACGCCACUACAACUAUAUCCCCUAUUUCUGUCGGCCGCAUCGGUUCGGACCGCUCGGUUCUGUGGUGAAGUGUAGAAACCCAUCACGCUUGAACGCCUUUUUGUUGUAGGGCAAAUUGACGCUGUUGUACCGCCACAAAGGUCCCAUUUCGUAUCGCUGUCCGUUCGUUUCCCGCUCCAAUAUCGCCAACGCUCUUUCGUCGUCCCUAGGCCGCAACGGCCGCACUGCUUUGUCCGACGCGGAGUUACAAGAGAGGUCGUGAAACGCGCGGCCCGAGAAGGACCGGUUUGAAGGACUCGGCUUUGCACUCGCAACCGAGCAAGGCCCAUAGACAACCCAUCCAAGGCGGGUUUUCGAAGCGACCGGUUCUUUGCAGCUUGCAUCCACGGUCUUGAGGGUUCGCGUUAUGUUGCAGUUGUCUAUGCCUAUGAGGAUGCGGGGCACGGCGUAAGCGUAGGAUUCGAACUGGAGACCUCUCAGAUGAGUAUAGCGUGCAGUCAGUUGUGCUACGUUUACAGAUUGUUCCGGAAGGGCAAGCUCUUUGACCGUGUGUACUUCUGAUAGUUUGUAUAUCGCAUGUGACAUGUUUCUACCCGAUAUGCGCACCGAUAGCCUUACGGAGUCUUGUUCUUCUCUUGUCACGUCUCCCGUCCAUUGUAGACACAACGGGUACGGUGUCCCUGUAACUCCAAGCUCCUGUGCUAGUCCGUGCUCCAUAAACGUGGAAGUAGAGCCGUCAUCUAAAAAGGCGAACGUAUCUAUUCGCCCCCUGGGCCCGUGCAGCGUAACGGGUACGUAUUUUAAAAGCGAAGAGUCUUUCGGUCCUGAAUGGGUAAGAACGUUAGCGACACCAGUGUACACGACCCUACCUAAGCCAUUUAGAUGAUCGCGCUGGUGAGGGCUGGCUGGUGUCUGGUCAUUCACGUGGAGCAGCUCAUGGUGUUGUCUGUUGCAUCCGUUCACCGCGCACGGUGCUCUUACGCUGCAACCACCUCUAUGGUAUCCGAGGCAUUUCCGGCAUAUCCUGCGUUCACUUACAAACGAUCUUCUGGCGGCAACCGUUGUCCUUUGGAACUGCUCACACUGGACCAGAGUGGGACAAUCCCUGCCGCACAAGGGGCAGACAGUCAACAAUUCUGGUGCAUUUUGCGAUGAAGAUGGAUCACCAAGAUUCUCAUCCUGCAAUACCGUUGCGUUGCAGUAGGCUAGAUGAACCCGCCCAGUACCGAUCGGUGGCCGUCGAUCGAGUUGCGCUGGCGGGGCACGAUGGGGUUGAAACCGUUGAGGCUGGGUGCGGCUGUAAUGAGUUGGCGGUUCUGGUUGUUGAUGAGUUGAGUCGCUAUUUUCCAUCACGGACAUCACGUCGACAACACCACAGAGAUCUUCUGCUAAGUCACCAACCCAUUUUCCAAACUCCAACAGCGUCACUUCCGAAAGUUUACUCCUCGUUCUCGCCCAGUCGAUGCAUAGGACGGGGGGUAGUUUCCUGACUAACUCCUUGAGUAACGCCACGUCGUACAUGUACCCUCGUAACCCGGAGGCCGUCAUCGCUCCUACCAACCGCUUCACCGCAUAUCCAAACUCUACGACCGUUGACAACCUUUCAAUCUUCGGUGGUGCCAUUUUUCUGAUCUUCUCGGUCAUGGACUCCACAAUCAGAUCUGGUCUGCCGAAACGCGCCUUUAGGGUCGCCAUCACCUCAUUCAACCCGUCCGGGAAGUACAAAAGGUGGCCUACCGCUUCGAACGCCGCUCCUCUCAACGCAUAUUGUAGACGGCCGAUGUUUUCGUCAUCGGUGUAACCACAUGCAGUGUUAGUGCGGUUAUACGUGGCUAUGAAAAGCGACCACACUUCUGGUUCCCCGGAAAAGACCGGAAGGUCCCGGGGCACCGGUUGACGAGCAGCUAUCUGGCUCUGACUCAGUGUGCUGGUGUUGAAAUGUGGUUGCACAUAUUCGUGUUGUGGUAGUAUCGUGUGAGCCGAAUGUGUAUGCGAAGUGUACGUCGGGUGUGUCUGUAUAGUGUGCGCUGAGUGAGAAUGUGUCGCGUGAGGAAGAGUUUGUGUUGCGUGUGGAUGCAUCCUUUGUGACGGUAGUGUAGCGUAGGUCGACGCAAUCGCGGGGCUCGGUUGAGGGAGUUGGGGUUGCUCAGCAGCGGCGCGUUGCCCGAGGUCGUUGCCCCCUGAAAUUUGGCCUUGCGUAAGGGCUUUUCCCGCCGGGUAUAUUCGACGCAAGGAUUCCCCGAAACUCUUCACCCACCCAGCAAACUCCGGAUAAUGUGUCCCCCCAGUGCCGCCGUGGUUGGGAUGCUCAGCGAUGGCCGCCGAGCCAUUUUCGUCUUCUGCAUCCCGUAGCAUCUGCAUCUCGUGCUCAAUCUCCUGCAAUCGUCGUCUUCGCGAUUCGCGAAUGUCAUCGCGGCCCUGGUUCGCACCGUGGUUUAAUGAGUGGAACGGUGAACUUAUCCCCUUACUCUGCCCCUCUUUGCGAAGUACCGCAACGUUCGUUGCGGUGGCAUCGCUCCUCGGGGUGCUUCCUUCCGUCGUUACAGUGCUCGAUGUUCCCGGGGAGGAUGGAUCGUACCUGGGCCCGCCAGAGACGUUACCGCUUUCCUGCGGCGUUUCCGGACUCGCUGGUAGGUUUUGCGCCACCCGAAGCGUACGACGCAUUUUACGUUGGUUUAUUUUCCCGUUCCACUAUAUAUCACUUGCGCGCGCGACUUACUGUGCUUUCCGCUCUGCGAAACGAGUUUUCGAUCAACUUUAUUGGCUUUUUCGUGCGAAUGCUAAUUUUUUGAAAUGUUGAAAAACGCGGUGGAUUUUUUAGAGAAAACACUUUAUUUACUGUUAUGAGGUUAAAUCAAAAAAUUAGUCCACAUGUACCGAUUGUCGAAUUUCAACUAAAGGCUAGGAGCGGACCAAUCCUCCUCCUUAUCUCCUAAUUUAUAGUUUUUAUCCUCCCUCUCACUCUCUUCUCUGGCGUUGUGACCUGACAGACUGUUGGGCACUCGUGAGUUUCCAACAGCCUCUUAAAAAAUACAACUUGAGCGAUUUAAAAAUCAAAUUGCGCUUGUGAAAAAUAGCAUCGGUGCGGUGAAGUAACAACU
This is a long non-coding RNA of Anopheles merus, 3299 nucleotides long. RefSeq lists it as uncharacterized. The record is from RefSeq and is a predicted model, not a curated record. Lineage: Eukaryota; Metazoa; Arthropoda; Insecta; Diptera; Culicidae. The transcript has 3 exons.